AUGGGCUGCGUCGCGUCCAAGAAGGCCGUCGUCUCUGUCACUCCGGCGGUCGACUCGUCCGGCGUGUUCCGUGACCGCGCGCCGGAGCCCGCUGCCGUCUCCGCCUCUUCCCUGCGCAGCUCGGCUGCUGCAGCAGCGGCGGCGAGGUCGGUGGAAAAGAAGGACGACGAGGAGGAGCCGGGGAAGGCUGUGGUCGCCGUGGCGGCCGCGUCCCGGAGCUUCCGGCUGCGGAACCUCCGAAGGAGCCUUGAGGGGGAGCAGGUGGCCGCCGGGUGGCCGUCCUGGCUUAGCGCCGUUGCCGGGGAGGCCAUCCAAGGCUGGAUCCCUCUCAAAGCCGACUCCUUUGAGAAGCUUGAGAAGGUUGGGCAAGGCACAUACAGCAGUGUAUUUAGGGCGCGGGAUCUUGAUACUGGAAAGAUUGUCGCACUGAAGAAGGUGCGAUUCGACAAUUUCGAGCCAGAGAGUGUCAGAUUCAUGGCAAGGGAGAUACAAAUACUGAGAAGGCUCGAUCAUCCAAAUGUCAUGAAACUGGAAGGCUUGAUUACUUCUCGGUUAUCAUGCAGCCUUUAUCUAGUGUUUGAAUACAUGGAGCACGAUCUUGCUGGACUUUGUUCCUCCCCUGACAUCAAGUUCACUGAAGCACAGGUUAAGUGCUACAUGAACCAGUUACUGUCAGCACUUGAGCAUUGUCAUUCACGCCGCAUUGUUCACCGUGACAUCAAGGGUGCUAAUCUCCUCGUGAAUAACAAAGGAGUUCUAAAAAUUGCUGAUUUUGGGCUUGCUAAUUACUUUGACCCAAGUAAAAACCAUCCUCUGACCAGCCGGGUUGUUACACUGUGGUACCGACCACCUGAACUAUUGCUAGGGUCAACUCACUAUGAUUCAGCUGUUGAUUUGUGGAGUGUUGGGUGCGUAUUUGCCGAGUUCUUUCGUGGAAGACCUAUCUUACAGGGAAGAACUGAGGUAGAACAAUUGCAUAAGAUCUUUAAGUUAUGUGGCUCCCCCGCUGAUGACUAUUGGAAGAAGUCAAGGUUGCCUCAUGCAACAAUAUUUAAACCUCACUGUCCUUAUCUAAGUACCCUUCGAGAUGUUUUUAAAGAGGUGCCGGAACAUGCAUUCAGUUUACUAGAAACUCUUCUGUCGGUGGAGCCAUACAAGCGUGGUACUGCAUCAUGUGCCCUUACAUCCGAGUUUUUCAAGACAAAACCUUAUGCAUGCGAACCUAUAAGCUUGCCUCAGUAUGCACCCAACAAGGAGAUGGAUGCGAAGUUACGAGAAGAGUUACACAGAAGAAAGGCCAGUAGCAGAGGGCAUGGGCCAGAAGCAUCAAAGAAGUCAUCAAGGCUAAACAGAGCAGCAAGAGAACAAAGUGCAGUCAACAGGCAAACCGAAAACAAAGAGGAGUCCAAAACCAAACCAAAGGUAACCAAGGAUGGUGCAAUGCAGGUUCAUACAAAGGUUAAUGGUGAUGCUAGGCUAUUCACAGACACACAACUGGUUCCCGGGGCCCAAGUUAAAGAAAGGGCUCGUCAUGCUAAGAAUGAUUCACGGGAGGAAAUCCCUUUCUCCGGGCCCUUGAUUGUUUCGUCAUCCAGUGGCUUUGCAUGGGCCAAAAAACCGGAGGGUCGUUCUUUUACCAGAUCACGGAACAGAUCUAGUUCAAGAGGCGAAUUCACUGACGUAGAUUGGGACAACAAGCCACAAGCUAAAGAGAACAUUGGAUUGGAGGAACAACAUAACAGAGACGUGCAUGUAGCACGUGUCAACUCCAAGGUCCAAGAGCCUCAGGAGGUCGCAAAGCGUGCAGUUCUGAAGAAGUGGUCACAGUUAGAGCGUCCAGAUUCAUUUGAUUCUCGCGACACUUACCACUCUCAGAAUUUUUCGAAUGCAAUAUAUCUUGGGGAUGCUCUCUCAUCGAAAAAUAGCAUGAAGGAUGACCACUAUCAAGGAGGAGAAAGGGUUGAAUAUUCAGGCCCUUUAUUGUCCCAGUCCCACAAGGUUGAUGAACUGUUAGAGAAACAUGAGCGUCACAUUCGGCAAGUGGUCCGAAAAUCGUGGUUCAGGAGAGGAAUAAAGUGA
This 2079-nucleotide ribosomal RNA is filed under the name Triticum aestivum (bread wheat). RNAcentral describes it as "partial small subunit ribosomal RNA". The record is from RNAcentral. Lineage: Eukaryota; Viridiplantae; Streptophyta; Magnoliopsida; Poales; Poaceae.